UACAGACGGGGCAAGCGUUAUUCGGAAUUAUUGGGCGUAAAGGGCGCGUAGGCGGCCUGGCAAGUGGAAGGUGAAAUCCCUCGGCUUAACCGAGGAACUGCCCUCCAAACUGCUUGGCUUGAGUCCGGGAGAGGUGAGUGGAAUUCCCAGUGUAGCGGUGAAAUGCGUAGAUAUUGGGAGGAACACCAGUGGCGAAGGCGGCUCACUGGACCGGAACUGACGCUGAGGCGCGAAAGCGUGGGGAGCAAACGGG
RNAcentral lists this ribosomal RNA (253 nucleotides) under uncultured bacterium. RNAcentral describes it as "partial 16S ribosomal RNA". It matches the Rfam family "Bacterial small subunit ribosomal RNA", at positions 524 to 776 of the family's 1533-position model. The record is from RNAcentral.